Molecule: long non-coding RNA, 232 nt
Filed under: Carica papaya (papaya)
Lineage: Eukaryota; Viridiplantae; Streptophyta; Magnoliopsida; Brassicales; Caricaceae
Description: long non-coding RNA (CPAP_LNC004571)
Source: RNAcentral
AAUGUCAUUGUCCUUCAUGGACUUAAUCCCUUCAUUCAUAACAUCUAUCCACUUUUGAGAGUUAAAACUUUCCAUAGCUUGACGAAAGUUGAUUGGCUAUUUUGGAACAGCUUCUUGAGUAUGAACAGAAGGUACUGUGAUAAUGUUUUGACCUAGAUUUACUUCUUGAACAAUACAAGGUAUGAGAACCUGAUCCUGAUCAAUGUCAAGAGCAACUAAGGGAAUAUCAAUU